RNAcentral lists this ribosomal RNA (253 nucleotides) under uncultured bacterium. Its description in RNAcentral is "partial 16S ribosomal RNA". It matches the Rfam family "Bacterial small subunit ribosomal RNA", at positions 524 to 776 of the family's 1533-position model. The record is from RNAcentral.
UACGAAGGGGGCUAGCGUUGCUCGGAAUUACUGGGCGUAAAGGGCGCGUAGGCGGCGGAAGUAGUCAGGCGUGAAAUUCCUGGGCUCAACCUGGGGGCUGCGUUUGAUACGCUUUUGCUAGAGGACGGAAGAGGCUCGUGGAAUUCCCAGUGUAGAGGUGAAAUUCGUAGAUAUUGGGAAGAACACCGGUGGCGAAGGCGGCGAGCUGGUCCGUUACUGACGCUGAGGCGCGACAGCGUGGGGAGCAAACAGG